CCCGCCCCGCCGGGAGCUGCGCGCGCGGGAGGGCGGAGCUGCUGCCCCCUCCCCUCCGCCCGCCCGUCCCUCCGUCCCGGGGCGCCGGCGUGUCUGGGCAGAGCCGCGGGCAGCGCAGCGAUGGGCAGCAAAGGACACUACAGAUACCACUGGCAGAGCCACAAUGUCAAGCACAGUGGAGUGGAUGACAUGGUCCUGCUUUCCAAAAUCACUGAGGAUGCCAUAGUGGAGAACCUAAAGAAACGAUACAUGGAUGAUUAUAUUUUUACAUACAUUGGCUCUGUACUAAUCUCUGUGAAUCCUUUCAAGCAAAUGCCAUAUUUUGGGGAAAAGGAAAUUGAAAUGUACCAAGGAGCAGCACAGUAUGAAAACCCACCACAUAUUUAUGCUCUUGCGGACAGCAUGUACAGAAACAUGAUUAUUGACAGAGAAAAUCAGUGUGUCAUUAUUAGUGGGGAAAGUGGUGCUGGAAAGACUGUAGCUGCCAAAUAUAUCAUGAGUUAUAUCUCCAAAAUUUCAGGAGGUGGUCCUAAAGUACAGCAUGUUAAAGAUAUUAUUCUACAAUCCAACCCUUUACUGGAGGCCUUUGGGAACGCAAAAACUGUACGGAACAACAACUCCAGCAGAUUUGGGAAAUACUUUGAAAUACAGUUUAGCCCAGGUGGAGAACCAGAUGGAGGGAAAAUCUCCAACUUCCUACUGGAAAAAUCUCGAGUUGUAAUGAGGAAUCCUGGAGAGAGAAGUUUUCACAUUUUUUACCAGCUAAUUGAAGGGGCCUCCUCAGAACAAAAAAGCAGCCUUGGCAUUACCAGUAUGGACUACUAUUACUAUCUGAGUCUCUCUGGCUCCUACAAAGUGGAUGACAUCAAUGACAAAUCAGAUUUCCAAGAAACACUGCACGCAAUGAGUGUGAUUGGGAUCUUUGCAGAGGAGCAGGCAUUGGUACUGCAGAUAGUGGCAGGAAUUUUGCAUUUGGGAAACAUCAGCUUCAAAGAAGUUGGCAACUAUGCAGGAGUGGAGAGCGAGGAGUUUUUAGCUUUCCCUGCUUUUCUCCUGGGAAUUAACCAGGACCGCCUGAAGGAAAAACUGACCAGCAGACAGAUGGACAGCAAGUGGGGAGGCAAAUCUGAGUCCAUUAAUGUCACACUGAAUGUGGAACAAGCCUGCUACACCAGGGAUGCCCUGGCCAAGGCCCUUCAUUCCCGUGUGUUUGAUUACUUGGUGGAUUCUAUUAAUAAGGCUAUGGAGAAGGACCAUGAAGAAUAUAACAUCGGUGUCCUUGAUAUUUAUGGCUUUGAAAUAUUUCAGAAAAAUGGUUUUGAACAGUUCUGCAUCAACUUUGUAAAUGAAAAACUGCAGCAGAUUUUUAUUGAACUGACACUGAAAGCAGAGCAGGAGGAAUAUGUACAAGAAGGAAUUAGAUGGACACCAAUAGAAUAUUUCAACAACAAAAUAGUGUGUGACCUUAUAGAGAACAAAGUGAACCCCCCAGGGAUUAUGAGCAUUUUGGAUGAUGUGUGUGCCACCAUGCACGCCGUGGGAGAAGGGGCUGACCAGACACUGCUGCAGAAACUGCAGAUGCAGAUUGGCACUCAUGAACAUUUCAACAGCUGGAACCAGGGCUUCAUCAUCCAUCAUUAUGCUGGAAAGGUAUCUUAUGAUAUGGAUGGAUUCUGCGAGAGAAAUCGGGAUGUUCUUUUCACGGACUUGAUUGAACUCAUGCAGAGCAGUGAUUUGCCUUUUAUAAAGGCUCUGUUUCCUGAAAACCUUCAAGUGGACAAGAAGGGCCGUCCUACCACUGCAGGCAGCAAAAUCAAAAAACAAGCCAACGACCUUGUUGGCACCCUGAUGAAGUGCACCCCCCACUACAUCCGCUGCAUCAAACCCAAUGAGACCAAGAAGUCUCGGGACUGGGAGGAGAGCAGGGUAAAACAUCAAGUGGAAUACUUGGGUCUGAAAGAAAAUAUUCGAGUCAGAAGAGCUGGCUACGCCUACAGACGGGUUUUCAAGAAGUUUCUGCAGAGGUAUGCCAUUCUCACCAAAGCAACCUGGCCCUCGUGGAAAGGAGAAGAGAAACAAGGAGUCCUCCACCUGCUUCAGUCAGUCAACAUGGAUCCUGACCAGUACCAGCUCGGCAAGUCCAAAGUCUUCAUCAAAGCUCCAGAGUCUCUGUUCCUGUUGGAAGAGAUGAGAGAGAGGAAGUAUGAUGGGUAUGCCAGGGCCAUCCAGAAGGCCUGGAGGAAGUAUGCAGCCAGGAAAAAAUACGUGCAGAUGAGAGAAGAAGCGUCAGAUCUGUUGCUGAGCAAGAAGGAGAGAAGGCGGAACAGCAUUAACAGGAAUUUUGUGGGAGAUUACAUCGGCAUGGAGGAGCACCCUGAGCUGCGCCAGUUCGUGGGCAAGAGGGAGAAGAUCGAUUUUGCAGACACUGUAACUAAAUAUGACAGGAGGUUUAAGAGCGUGAAGCGAGAUCUCGUCCUCACUCCCAAGUGCAUUUACCUGAUCGGGCGGGAGAAGAUAAAGCAGGGCCCAGAGAAGGGCCAGGUGAAGGAGGUCUUGAAGAGAAGGAUGGAAGUGGAGAGAAUUCUUUCUGUUUCUUUAAGCACCAUGCAGGAUGACAUUUUCAUUCUACAUGAACAGGAAUAUGACAGUUUGCUUGAAUCAGUCUUCAAAACAGAGUUUUUAAGCCUCUUGUCGAAACGAUAUGAAGAGAAAACACAACAAAAACUACCUCUGAAAUUUAGCAAUACACUUGAAGUGAAGCUGAAGAAGGAGAGCUGGGGGCCCUGGAGCAGUGCUGGUUCCCGACAGGUGCAGUUUAUACAGGGCCAAGGAGAUGUGGCCAUUCUCAAACCAAGUAAUAAAGUGCUGCAGAUCAGCAUUGGACCAGGGCUACCAAAGAAUUCCCGUCCUACAAGACGGAGCCUUAGCCAAGGCAGAGGACAUUCCAGUAGGUCUCAAAAUCAGACUUAUCCUAUGAGAGCUGCACCACCUCCUCCAGGUCAGCAGCAGAAUGGAGUAAUAAAUCCCCCCCAGGGUGCAGCCCAUCCCCAGGUGCCAGGAAAUCAGUGGGCCAGCCAGAGGAACCUGUACACAAACAUGACACGGCCGGCUCUACCACGGCAAACGUCAGGAGGAUCAGGCAAGAUUUCACAGCAACCACAAAGCUUGGAUUUCUUGAAAGUACCUGACCAAGGAGCAGCUGGCCUUUAUUAGCUGAUGAGCUGGCAAAAGGCAUUUCUUCCCUCUUUCCCUUUCCUAAUCUUUGGAGUGGUCACAGCUGUGACAGUUUGUGCAGCAUUUUCCCUGCUGCUUCAGAGUUGGCUAUAACAGAACAAGUCCAUAGAUGGCCCUGGAAGCUGAGGGAACUUAAAAGAGAUGCAAGUGUCUGUUACAGCUUAGUCACAAGAAUGGGUCCGCAGGCAGACGUCGAGCCGCCCGCCGCCCGCCGGGGGCCGGCCCAAGCCGCAGCCCAAGCCCAAGCCGCAGGUGCCGCAGUGCCGCGCGCUCUACGCCUACGACGCGCAGGACACCGACGAGCUCAGCUUCAACGCCAACGACGUCAUCGACAUCCUCAAGGAAGAUCCUUCUGGCUGGUGGACAGGAAGACUACGAGGGAAACAAGGACUGUUUCCCAACAAUUAUGUCACCAAGAUUUAAAAGACUGUCAGAGAAAACUGGCGUGAAGGUACCAGUGGUUGAAGAUGUUUCCCCUGCCUUCAGGACACUGUUCUUCCAAGGUCUGCCUUCUCAGCAGUAUUUUCACCAGUAAAUUGUGUAUGAGCAGGAAGAGUUUCCCACAGUACAGACUUUGAUUUUUGUCUCAGCACCAUACAGCAAUGAACUGACCAAUUAUUUAUUAUAUUUAAAACCUGGUUUAAACACCUAAAAGAAUGCUCAGACCUACCAUCUUCCUCAAACAGGUGCUUUACAGUCUGGAACCAGGGACUUCUAAAGGGGUGUAUUUAUUAAGUGCCUUCAGCUCAAUAUCAGUAACCUUUUUAAUUAUCUGCUGAAGAUAAUGUUGAAUGCACAUUUCCUCUAAUGCAGAUCAUUCUGGGGAACAUGUUAAUAAGUAUGCUGCUACAUGUCAAAAAGAUUUAGGCUCAUUUGGGGUAUUACCAUCUGAAAAACUACUGUGAUGGUCUAUUUAAUUCUGUACAGAGAUGUAAUGGAACUGGUUUGUGUUUGCAGGUGUGUUAGGGACUCCAACAGGCACUGUAAGACUUUAAAACAGAAAACCACAUAGUACUGUAUGAUAAACAAUGUUGCCUUCUUCAAGAUUUAUAUUAUAAUAUGGCUGGCCCAUGUUGGAUUUAUGUUUAAUACUCUACCUGUUAUAGGAAGUGUCUUUAUGCAGAGCUGUACAUUUACAGAAAUAGUUAUAUACUGUAUAUAAAAACUGGUUAUGAUAGAAACAUGUAUAAAUGUAUAAUGCAGUAGUCCACUGUUCUUAUGAGGUAGUACUGCUAGAAUUUUUAUGCCAGGUACUUACAGAUAUGCACUACUCCUCCUUUUAAAUAGCAAAAGCACAGGUCUUACUGCCCAAGUCUGAUUGCCUCCCCCAGAGUGGCUGUUGCUUGCCCUGCAGUUCUGAGAAUUCCUGCUUUGCCUUUUGAUCCUCCAUAAAAUAAAACACAGGAUGAUCAA
Molecule: RNA transcript, 4647 nt
Organism: Zonotrichia leucophrys gambelii
Lineage: Eukaryota; Metazoa; Chordata; Aves; Passeriformes; Passerellidae
Gene: MYO1E
Gene name: myosin IE
Exons: 29
Source: RefSeq, a predicted model, not a curated record